This is a long non-coding RNA of Homo sapiens (human), 4137 nucleotides long. The record is from Ensembl. NCBI's taxonomy places the organism in Eukaryota, Metazoa, Chordata, Mammalia, Primates, Hominidae.
GAGGGAGGCGAAGGGUGCCCCAUGGGUGGCUGAGGGGACGCCCGGCCCGCGAGGGACAACCCGAGGAGGAGCAGUUUCAUCUGAUUAACACCUGAGUCUCGUCCAGUGUGACAUUCUUCAGAAUUCAUCCUGGAAUCAAUAUUAUGCCAAAGAAAAUUUUCUGAAAGCUACACAGAUCAUACCACUGCAACUCAGCCAACCAGCACAUCGGACAGUGGGAGGAGGAAUUCUUGGCUAAGAGUACUGAGAGAUGGGGUUUCACCAUGUUAACCAGGAUUGUCUCAAUCUCCUGACCGCGUGAUCCACCUGCCUCAGCCUCCCAAAGUGCUGGGAUUACAGGCGUGAGCCACCAUGCCUGGCCAAAAUUCUGAAACCAGAUGUGAUAAGCUUGACAGAGCCUGCAAUUCCAUCUAACACCUUGACACCUUCUCCUCCUUCAGAACCCCCCUCCCUGGCAGCAGCCAGAAACCUCCCCAAAGAGGGUGGAUGCUCCGCAAGUGAGAAAGGGAAGGAGGGCAUGAGAACUCCUGGUCUAAGGGGAAAGAUACCAAGGAGGAAAGAGAAAGUCAAACCACAGACAAAAUAAUCCACAAAAAGCAGCAAAUGUACAUAUAUUUGGGGACUACAGUAAAACUCCAUGAUAAUGUGUCAUGUGAGUCUAUAAUUUAAAUCUAGGUUUCAAUCAUUUUUCACUGUGUGCCAUAGUAAAAAAUAAGUUUUAUAUUGUGACUCAGUACAUAUACACGGUUUUACAAAACAACCUUCACCCUUACUACAUGGGAUACAUUCUGACAUUUUCUUCCAUCCUAUCCAACCCUACUCCAUUUUAUCCUACCUUACAUUACCUUAAUCUAUUCCAACCUUUUCUGCUCUGCUUCAUUUUUAAAAAAAGGAAAUGUUGGCUACUCACUAAAUUAAUUUCAUGACCCACUAAUAAAGCAUAACUGGCAACUUAAAAAUAGUAGUUUGUUAAAAUUCAUAGAUGUGCAGACUUCUGAUUCACAGACUUUUGGAACUGUAGAUCAUCUGUUUCUAGUGUAACCUCAUUUUCCAGGUGAAGAUACCGAGCCCUAAAGAGGUUGUAAUUCAUCCUCAAUUGUGUGCCUGGUUGAUGGCACGACCAAUGUUCUUUCUUGGAUUUACAUGGUGAUGCAAGAGGGAGUGUGGUGUAGGGCAGAGCCUGGGUUGACAUUGGUAGACACAUUCUGUUUAGAGCUCUGUGACCUUAAGCAAAUCACUUAAACCAUUUGGCCUCAGUUUCCUGGAAAAUGAGGUGUGGUGAGGAUCAAUUAAGUAAGACAUAGGAGAGGCUUUGCAAGCAGUGAAGUCCAAAGGUGAAAAAUUAUUACUUCUCUUUUCUCCCUAUGAUAGUCUGUGAUGCAGGCAUUAUUUGUAUUUUUUGUCAGCAGUUCUACAACAGAGACCCUGGCUUUGGAACAGAAAAGAAAAAAAAAAUCUAUGCAGUAAUCAGCCUCUUUCUCAUCUUUCAGAGACCCCCAAACCCUCUAAUUUAUCCUCUACUUUAUCCUCUCCUCUUUGUUUUUCUAAUUUGUUUUUUACUUCUUGAUUCAUCUUAUCAUUUCCUGCCUCUUCUUAAAGUAGUCAAGGUCAAUGCAUGGUCAGAAAUAAAGAGCCCAUAUAGAGAUGAUAAACAUAUUCAGAAGUGUCUGUACAGGUCUGUAGCAACAUAUAUACCCAAGUCUAUCUCCAUGCGGGAGUGGCAAGGGGUAGACUAGCCAUCUGGAAAUUUAUCUAAGAUGUUCAUCUGUGUCUUAAGAGGAUGAUGACAUUCCACAAACAGAAUCAGUAGGUGUGAGUAAGACACGUGGAUCCUGUCCUCAGUUGGUUCUAGGGAAGAACCAUGUUGCCUCUGGAGCAUCCAGAUGCAUGAGAUUUUCUCUGAUAUGUAAACAUGUCUGAAUGGUCUCGUGCCAGGAGAACCCAUUAGUUCAUGUGAUGACUUCAGAUGGCAUCUGAAAGAUAGUCUUGCUCACAGGUGGCUUUGUCCAGAUGAAGAUUCAGUUGACAUCAGUGGCAUGGGAGGGGCUCUUCUUGAGCGGGGCAGGUGCCUCAGGAGGCUCAAGGAGCAGGAGCACGUUGUGGCUCUCCUGACAGCUCUUCAGACUUGGUUUACCCUGUCCAAGGGCUUUCAAAAGGAAAGUUAAGCUUGAUGUGGCCUCUUGGUCACUCUGGAGCCAUUUCUCUGCUCUGCAUCAGAAGAGGUCCAAGGAACUGGAGUCUACCUCUCUAAGGAUCUUGAUAUAUCUUAGAACCAUAGGAAAAGUUUAGCUGGAAAACAUUUAAAUAAAUCCAUCUGCACAUCCCUAUCUCAUAUUUGAAAGAUAUAGCAAGGGUAAGGCUCAUUUUGUGUUUUCUCCUAUCAACAUAAAUUCUGCUCAAAUAUCUGGUUCAGUUUUCUUAGUAAUUUAUGCGUUUUCAGCUCAGUGAUUUUCUGCAGAACCAGCCUUUUAUGAGAAACUAAAAUUUUCCCAGGGAGAAAAUUGCCUUCUCUGUCACAGUAGUCUAUAUUUAGUGCAUAACCACCUGUGUGACAUGACCUGAGUUCCCCCAUCUAAAAUGAAGCUGUACCUAGAGAGGACAUCGCUUUAUGGUGGUGGAGAGCACAGAUUUGGGAGCCAGACUGUCUGGGUUUGAUCCCUACUUUUCUGCUUAUCAGUGAUGUGACCUUGAGAAAAUUACUAAACCCAUUUUUGUUUCAAUUUUUUUCAUCUGCAAAUCAAUGAUGAUAAUAAUAGUAUCUAUGUCAUGAAAAUUAUGAGUUAAUGCAGUGCCCAGUUACAGUAACUGCUAAAGAUUUAGUAUUUUUCUUACUGAAAUGAUCUGUGAGUUCCCCUAUGGUUUUAAAAGUAAAUGAUAACAUUAUAAUAAUGAUAUUUUACGUUGGCAUAUCUUUGUAUUAUUUGUAAUACUUGUCCUCAUAUAUUAUCCCUCAGAUGAGGAAAUUGAGGCUGAAAAGUUAAGUGACUUUUUUGAGGAUAUAUUUUUUAAGGGGAGUAGCUGAGUCUAGCAGUAAGCUUUCUUAUUCCCAGUUUGCGGCACUCCCCUCACACGAUGAUGCUUUCAGCUGGGAAUAGAUACCUCCCUCCUAGAUGGCCCUCCUCCUGAUACUUUUCAUUAUUUGAAAAUAGUGCCACCAUUCUCCAAAUUGCUGGAUGCCCCCAUAGACUAAAAAGUGUUUAUAACUUUUCAUGUCCAUGUCUGUUUUAAUAAUGAUAACAAUAGUUGCUAUAACUAGUAAACCCAAAAAUCUUAGUGGCUUACCACAAUAGUGAUUUAUGUCUUGUAAACCAAAAAUAAAACUCUAAGCCUCCUAACCAAUUGAGUGGACCCCGUCUUGCCAAGGGCACUCCAGAGUAAAUCUGAAAAACUAGUUCAGGCCAUGAUGGGAAAUGAGGUUUGGACAUGCCUCAUUAUACCCUCCUCUCUUUGGAAUUCAGGGACAACUGACCAGCAUUAACAUCAAAACAGAGAUCUUAAGACUGACCAAACAGACUCUCUGUAGUAAUAAAAUACAUCACUAAAUGACAGAUAGCAGGCCCUGACAGAAAUAAAAAUAUUUUACCCUGAAAUAUAUUUCUUUGAUGUAUUUUAAAAUGGCCCUGCAGAGAUGUCUCUUGUGGGGGAAAUCUACAUACUGUAGAGAAUGUCCUCCCCUUUCUAGGUCUUUUCCUGAUCCUAGAGAGAUAAAGAGUCUGGUACCUUUUUAAGUCUGAUAAGAAACAUUUACAAUCUAUUCUCUCUGAAGCCUGCUACCUGGAGGCUUCACCUGCAUAAUAAGAACCUUGGUCUCCACAACCCCUUAUCUUAACCCAGACAUUCCUUUUCAUUGACUCCUGGUCUUUAGAUAAUAACUUAAGUCUUUCAACCAAUCACCAAUAAGAAAAUCUUUGAAUCCACCUAUGACCUGGAGGUCACCCUGCCCCCACCAUUUGAGUUGUUCUAUCUUUAUGGACCAAACCAAUGUAUACCUUACAUGUAUUAAUUGAUGUGUGCUUGUGACUCCUGUCCCUGCUAAAAUGUAUAAAAUCAAGCUGUAACCCAACUACCUUUGAUACAUGUUUUCAGGACCUCCUAAAGCUGUGUACAUGCUUGUCCUUAACCUUGGCAAAAUAAACU